RNAcentral lists this small RNA (841 nucleotides) under Pan troglodytes (chimpanzee). RNAcentral's name for it is "processed transcript". The record is from RNAcentral. Lineage: Eukaryota; Metazoa; Chordata; Mammalia; Primates; Hominidae.
GAUCUUCCUCAGCAACAGGAAUGUGGUGCAGUCCGAAGCCAGGUUGCUGAAGGAUGUGUCUCACAAAGAGAUCCCACUGGCAUUGUUGGUGGUAGGCCUGGGCGGGGGCAGCCUCCCCCUCUUUGUCCACGAUCAUUUUCCAAAGUCCUGCAUUGAUGCUGUGGAGAUCGAUCCCUCCAUGUUGGAAGUGGCCACCCAGUGGUUUGGCUUCUCCCAGAGUGACCGAAUGAAGGUCCACAUUGCAGAUGGCCUGGACUAUAUCGCCAGCCUGGCAGGAGGAGGAGAAGCACGGCCUUGCUACGAUGUCAUAAUGUUUGAUGUUGACAGUAAGGAUCCAACACUGGGAAUGAGUUGUCCGCCCCCAGCAUUUGUGGAGCAAUCUUUUCUACAGAAGGUUAAAAGCAUCUUGACUCCUGAAGGUGUUUUUAUUCUCAACCUUGUGUGCCGAGACUUGGGGCUAAAAGACUCAGUGCUGGCUGGGCUCAAGGCAGUGUUCCCCCUCCUAUAUGUCCGGCGAAUUGAGGGUGAAGUGAAUGAGAUCCUGUUCUGUCAGCUGCACCCUGAGCAAAAACUUGCCACACCAGAGCUCCUAGAAACAGCCCAGGCUUUGGAGCGGACCCUGAGGAAGCCUGGGAGGGGUUGGGAUGACACGUAUGUCUUGUCAGAUAUGCUCAAGACGGUGAAAAUUGUGUGACUGCUUAGGCCAAGCAGCCCUCCUGCCUAGACUGACCUUGGACUCCCAGCCUGCCAGAGAAUGAAGAAAUACAACGCACAGUACUUUUGAAGCUUCGUAUUUUUCUUGGCUUCACACUCAGCUACAUGUGACCUCCAGCUUGGUGAG